Non-coding RNA from Clostridiales bacterium GWD2_32_59, 138 nucleotides. The record is from Rfam. Lineage: Bacteria; Bacillati; Bacillota; Clostridia; Eubacteriales.
AAAAUAAGUUAGAAUAAACCGUAGAAAGUAGGUGCGAAAGCUUAAAGUGGCCUACCGAGGUGAAAAAUCAUAAUAAUUUAGGUUAUUAUAAGGUUUACACUUCGCAUGCGGUAGUGUAAACCUUAUUUAUUUUAGUUU